This 253-nucleotide ribosomal RNA is filed under the name uncultured bacterium. RNAcentral describes it as "partial 16S ribosomal RNA". It matches the Rfam family "Bacterial small subunit ribosomal RNA", at positions 524 to 776 of the family's 1533-position model. The record is from RNAcentral.
UACGAGGGGGGCGAGCGUUGUUCGGAAUUAUUGGGCGUAAAGGGUGCGUAGGCGGUUCCGCAAGUCCUGUGUGAAAUCUUCGGGCUCAACUCGAAGUCUGCACGGGAAACUGCGGGGCUUGAGUGUGGGAGAGGUGAGUGGAAUUCCCGGUGUAGCGGUGAAAUGCGUAGAUAUCAGGAGGAACACCGGUGGCGAAGGCGGGUCUCUGGGCCGUUACUGACGCUGAGGAGCGAAAGCGUGGGGAGCGAACAGG